Molecule: long non-coding RNA, 740 nt
Filed under: Rhinopithecus bieti (black snub-nosed monkey)
Lineage: Eukaryota; Metazoa; Chordata; Mammalia; Primates; Cercopithecidae
Description: lncRNA (ENSRBIG00000045042.1)
Source: RNAcentral
AAGAACCCAGCAGCAACCAAAGAGCAGAACAAAACUCCAUGGCAGCAUUAGGCUUCAGGUGGCCAUGGGUCUUGUCAAAGAAACAGAAGUGGAGGCAAAAUUUCAAAAUGACACAAAGAGGCAUCUAUUUGUACCAGGCACCAAGUGGUCAGAUGGUUGAAGAUCUAUCUGGGAAGUACAGAAACAUGUGAGAUUGGUAUGGGAUUACCUGGGCAGCAACAUAAUGUAAGGGAGAGAGGGAUGUCAGGGGACCUUGGCUGGGUGUCUGCUCAACGUCCACAUCCCAUCUACCAGCCUCCUCUUAGGAAUGUGGCUCUCCUGGCCAGGCAGCGACGAAUACUGUGUGUGCUAUUUCCCAAACUUCUUGGAUCACAAAAGCUAGUCAGGGAAUGUGCGGCAGAAGCAACUCUGCUGGAGGGACCCCGGCCUGGCUGAGACCCUGUGGGAAGCCGCACAUCUCGGCCUGCUCCAGUUCCAGUGCCGUCCUGAGUUCCAUCCUGAGGUCCAGUUCCAUCAUGAGUGCUGGAACUGUAGCCUGGAGGCAGGAUGGGCCCCCUCAGGAGAGGUGGGGAGGAGGGCCGGGGAGGAGGGCCGGGGAGGAGGAGGGCUGGGGGAAGAAAGCUGAGGGGAGGAGGAGGCUGGGAGAGGCCACCCUUUCCUCUUCCCUGGCCCCUGUGUCCAGGCCACACUGCCCUUCCUGCCCUAGCACAGUCCCAGAUGAGAAGAGUCCUGGGAGGUAA